Molecule: ribosomal RNA, 253 nt
Filed under: uncultured prokaryote
Description: partial 16S ribosomal RNA
Rfam family: Bacterial small subunit ribosomal RNA
Source: RNAcentral
UACGUAGGGUGCGAGCGUUAAUCGGAAUUACUGGGCGUAAAGCGUGCGCAGGCGGUUUCGUAAGACAGACGUGAAAUCCCCGGGCUCAACCUGGGAACUGCGUUUGUGACUGCGAGGCUAGAGUAUGGCAGAGGGGGGUGGAAUUCCACGUGUAGCAGUGAAAUGCGUAGAGAUCGGAAAGAACACCAACGGCGAAGGCACUCUGCUGGGCCGACACUGACACUGAGAGACGAAAGCUAGGGGAGCAAAUGGG